Molecule: ribosomal RNA, 811 nt
Filed under: uncultured archaeon
Lineage: Archaea
Description: bacterial SSU rRNA
Rfam family: Archaeal small subunit ribosomal RNA
Source: RNAcentral
ACUGCUCAGUAACACGUGGCUAACCUGCCCUCGGGACGAGAACACCCCCGGGAAACUGGGGCUAAUUCUCGAUAGGCGAAGAACUCUGGAAUGAGUCUUCACCCAAAAGACGCUUAGAUCAUGCUUCUAGGCUUCGCCCAAGGAUGGGGCCGCGACCGAUCAGGUUGUUGGUGAGGUAAUGGCUCACCAAGCCUUUAACCGGUGCGGGCCGUGGGAGCGGGAGCCCGGAGAUGGGCACUGAGACAAGGGCCCAGGCCCUACGGGGCGCAGCAGUCGCGAAAACUUUGCAAUAAGCGAAAGCUUGACAGGGCUAUCCCGAGUGCCAUCCGCUGAGGAAGGCUUUUACCCAGUCUAGUAAGCUGGGAGAAUAAGGAGAGGGCAAGUCUGGUGUCAGCCGCCGCGGUAAUACCAGCUCUCCGAGUGGUGUGGAUGUUUAUUGGGCCUAAAGCAUCCGUAGCUGGCUGAGUUAGUCCCCUGUUAAAUCCACCGAAAUAAUCGUUGGAUUGCGGGGGAUACUGUUCGGCUAGGGGACGGGAGAGGCAGACGGUAUUUUCGGGGUAGGGGUGAAAUCCUAUAAUCCCGGGAAGACCACCAGUGGCGAAGGCUGUCUGCUAGAACGCGCCCGACGGUGAGGGAUGAAAGCUGGGGUAGCGAACCGGAUUAGAUACCCGGGUAGUCCCAGCUGUAAACGAUGCAGGCUAGGUGUUUGGGCGGCCACGUGCCGCUCUAGUGCCGCAGGGAAGCUGUUAAGCCUGCCGCCUGGGGAGUACGAUCGCAAGAUUGAAACUUAAAGGAAUUGGCGGGGGAGCAC